RNAcentral lists this long non-coding RNA (597 nucleotides) under Vigna radiata. RNAcentral's name for it is "long non-coding RNA (VRAD_LNC016445)". Lineage: Eukaryota; Viridiplantae; Streptophyta; Magnoliopsida; Fabales; Fabaceae. The record is from RNAcentral.
ACAGGACUCAACUCAAUCCACCCUGUUACAUUUGUUUAUUGCCAUCUGGUUCAUACCUUUUAGGAAAAAACAGUAUUGGUUUGGGAUCAGAUAAUCUGCAUCCUGAGGUUUAGAAACAAGAUUUUGAUUGGAUCUAAUCCUUGGGAUGUAGAUUAUCCCUUCCUUUUGUCAUGACCAAUUUAUACAUCGUUUAAAUCACCCCUUCAAUAAAAUCAGCAUCCAUAGGAUGUGGAUUAUCACUGCUGUUUGUUAUUGGAGUUCCUUACGGGACAGUUCAUGCUCCUUGAGGCAUUGCUGCAGAUCAAAUGAGAGAUUCUAGGGUAUGCGUGCCAUGAAUAAUGAAUCACUGCAUGCUACAGGUAAAAAUGCACUGUGUACAUGAGUGAGUGUUAUGCAUAAAAGUGAAUAAUAUUACAUAAUUAUAAAACUUUUAAAAGUUUUAAUCUUAACCAAUUCUCCGAGUAGAUUGGUUCGUGUGAUUAAGGUUUGAUAGUUAACUCUUUCUGUCCUUAUGAGUGCUGGAUAGGUCCUUCUUGAUAUCAUUACAAUUUUCUAAGAAUAUUUUUUGGCGUGUAAUGACUAGACAGAAUUGUUUUU